CCAACAGUCCAGGCCCAGACCUGUCAAGAAAAUUUCCAUCUGGCUUAUUUCCAGGUCUGACCCAAUUGCCCACUAUACUUAUGAAAAGAAAAUGUAAUAACACCUAAUUACACUCUUCAUGUUGUUGUUUCGAAUAUCAGUACAUGAAAUUAAAACCUUAAUUUUUUACAGUCCUCAAGAAUAAAACUUUCAGAAUCAGUACAUUACAACUUAUUAAUACAUGAACAUUAUGUUAAUAACUACUCUAUUACAACUUCAUGUAAUUAAACAUCUAAUGAACAUUUCCCUCUUUUGAAUAUGGUUUAUCCAUCAAAGCUAAGUCCAAUGCGUGAAUACAUGGAUUCAGCAUGCUUACCAACAGUAAAGUUCCAGCUCUUAGCUUCUAAACCUGCUGAUUUGGCCAACUAAUGGCCAAAUCCAUAGGUUAUAGCUUCAUGGUUAGUACCAAAACUCAAAUAGCAUAAAAACAUGUUGUUUAUCUAAUACAAGAAGAAAGGAAGGCAGGAUUGUUAUACAUACAACACAUUUGGCUUAAAGAACAUCUUUAGGUAAGGGUAAAUAUCAAGAUAAAAAGUAUCCAUGUAUUUGCUAGGCCAUUCAUACUAAGUUACUAAAGAAACUCACAUAAUAAUAACCGAUCAGAUUCAUAUCACAAGAUAAACAAUACUACAUUUUACAUAUGAUUUGCAGCUCAGGGUUUUCAUCAUUUCAAAAAAAAAAGAUAAUAAUUACAUGGAGAAAGAUGAGACCAAAUACCUUGAAUAACACAACAACAAAAACUCAGUAACUAAAGGUGCAAAAACUGGCUGAAACCUUAGAUGAGAAUGGAGCAGCAACAAGACAGAAGCAGUAACAACCAAAAACCCUAGAAUGUCAAACCCACAAUCAGCAACUUGAAACCAGAAAUAGCCAACUAAAUGACCCAAGAAGCCCUCUAUUUCAAACCAUUUUCAACUUGUAAAGAAUCAGAAAAAAUGAGGAAGAUUUGAAGUUUUCAAGAUUUCUAAAAUCUGACCCUAUUCAGGAAAGAAAAUAAAGCUU
RNAcentral lists this long non-coding RNA (1041 nucleotides) under Nicotiana tabacum (common tobacco). Its description in RNAcentral is "long non-coding RNA (NTAB_LNC007931)". Lineage: Eukaryota; Viridiplantae; Streptophyta; Magnoliopsida; Solanales; Solanaceae. The record is from RNAcentral.